AUGAUGAAGAGGAGGGGUUUUAGCCAUAAGUGGAUGGAUAAAGUGGAAUCUCUCAUUUUCAAAGGCUCUGUUGGUGUCAGGGUGAAUGACAGCAACAGUGAGUUCUUUGUCCCUGGCAAAGGUGCCAGACAAGGACAUCCCUUUUCCCCUCUCCUUUUCAAUCUAGUUGCUGAUGUCUUUACUAGGAUUUUAAUUAAAGCCUCUACCAAUAACAAAGUUGAAGGCCUUUUCCCUGUCACAAAUCCCGCAGGCAUCAUUAGCAUGCAAUAUGCAGACGACACUUUGCUCUUUUUG
This 294-nucleotide ribosomal RNA is filed under the name Triticum aestivum (bread wheat). Its description in RNAcentral is "partial small subunit ribosomal RNA". The record is from RNAcentral. Lineage: Eukaryota; Viridiplantae; Streptophyta; Magnoliopsida; Poales; Poaceae.